RNAcentral lists this non-coding RNA (31 nucleotides) under Rattus norvegicus (Norway rat). Lineage: Eukaryota; Metazoa; Chordata; Mammalia; Rodentia; Muridae. The record is from RNAcentral.
UGCCAGCGGUUACUUGUUUUGGGUUGAAAAC